This 66-nucleotide transfer RNA is filed under the name Ochthebius nanus. RNAcentral's name for it is "tRNA-Pro". The record is from RNAcentral. Lineage: Eukaryota; Metazoa; Arthropoda; Insecta; Coleoptera; Hydraenidae.
CAGAAGAUAGUUUAUGAAAAUUUUAAUUUUGGAGAUUAAAGAUAAGAAUAUUUUUCUUUCUUCUGA